GAAAGAGGGGGCGAGCGUUGGCCGGAGUCACUGGGCGUAAAGGGUGCGUAGGCGGUCGGGUAAGUUCGAGGUGAAAUCUUCAGGCUCAACCUGGAAACUGCAUUGAAUACUAUGCGGCUGGAAGGUUGGAGGGGAGACUGGAAUGCUCGGUGUAGCAGUGAAAUGCGUAGAUAUCGAGAGGAACACCAAUGGCGAAGGCGGGUCUCUGGUCAACACCUGACGCUGAGGCACGAAAGCCUGGGGAGCAAACAGG
This 253-nucleotide ribosomal RNA is filed under the name uncultured bacterium. RNAcentral describes it as "partial 16S ribosomal RNA". It matches the Rfam family "Bacterial small subunit ribosomal RNA", at positions 524 to 776 of the family's 1533-position model. The record is from RNAcentral.